This 421-nucleotide ribosomal RNA is filed under the name uncultured eukaryote. RNAcentral describes it as "SSU rRNA". It matches the Rfam family "Eukaryotic small subunit ribosomal RNA", at positions 592 to 1018 of the family's 1831-position model. The record is from RNAcentral.
CAAUAGCGUAUAUUAAAGUUGUUGCAGUUAAAAGCUCGUAGUUGGAUCUCGGGUGCAGGCUGGCGGUUCCACUCUCGUGCGACACUGCUCGUCCUGACCUCACUGGUCGGUCUCCUCUUGGUGCCCUUGAUUGGGUGUCUCGAGUGGCCGGAACGUUUACUUUGAAAAAUUAGAGUGUUCAAAGCAGGCAGUUCGCCUGAAUAAUGUUGCAUGGAAUAAUGGAAUAGGACCUCGGUUCUAUUUUGUUGGUUUUCGGAAGUCGAGGUAAUGAUUAAGAGGGACAGACGGGGGCAUUCGUAUUACGGUGUUAGAGGUGAAAUUCUUGGAUCGCCGUAAGACGAACUACUGCGAAAGCAUUUGCCAAGAAUGUUUUCAUUAAUCAAGAACGAAAGUCAGAGGUUCGAAGACGAUUAGAUACCGU